This 253-nucleotide ribosomal RNA is filed under the name uncultured bacterium. RNAcentral's name for it is "partial 16S ribosomal RNA". It matches the Rfam family "Bacterial small subunit ribosomal RNA", at positions 524 to 776 of the family's 1533-position model. The record is from RNAcentral.
UACAGAGACUGCAAGCGUUAUUCGGAUUCACUGGGCGUAAAGGGCGCGCAGGCGGUUCGGUGAGUCAGAUGUGAAAUCCCGAGGCUUAACCUCGGAACUGCGUCUGAAACUACUCGACUAGAGUACUGGAGAGGGUAACGGAAUUCACGGUGUAGCAGUGAAAUGCGUAGAUAUCGUGGGGAACACCAGAGGCGAAGGCGGUUACCUGGACAGUUACUGACGCUCAGGCACGAAAGCAUGGGGAGCAAAAGGG